Molecule: ribosomal RNA, 483 nt
Filed under: uncultured bacterium
Lineage: Bacteria
Description: partial 16S ribosomal RNA
Rfam family: Bacterial small subunit ribosomal RNA
Source: RNAcentral
GACGAACGCUGGCGGCGUGCCUAACACAUGCAAGUCGCGCGGGGAUUUAAGUGGAAGUUCUUCGGAAUGGAGAUUUAAAUUCUAGCGGCGGACGGGUGAGUAACGCGUGAACACUCUGUCCCGGACAGGGGGAUAACACUUGGAAACAGGUGCUAAUACCGCAUAAGACCACGGCCUCGCAUGUGGCUGAGGUCAAAGGAGCAAUCCGGUUCGGGGUGAGUUCUCGUCCGCUUAGCUAGUUGGUGAGGUAACGGCCCACCAAGGCGACGAUCGGUAGCCGGCAUGAGAGGGUGAAAGGAUACAUUGGAAAUGAGAGACGGUACAAACUCCUACGGGAGGCAGCAGUGGGGAAUAUUGGGCAAUGGGCGAAAGGCUGAGCCAGCAACGCCGCGUGAGGGAAGAAGGUUUUCGGAUUGUAAACCUCUGUCCUAUGGGACGAAGGAAGUGACGGUACCAUAGGAGGAAGCACCGGCGAACUACGUG